RNAcentral lists this non-coding RNA (100 nucleotides) under Paenibacillus sp. RNAcentral describes it as "Guanine sequence". It matches the Rfam family "Purine riboswitch aptamer". Rfam says of the family: Riboswitches are metabolite binding domains within certain messenger RNAs that serve as precision sensors for their corresponding targets. Allosteric rearrangement of mRNA structure is mediated by ligand binding, and this results in modulation of gene expression. A class of riboswitches that selectively recognises guanine and becomes saturated at concentrations as low as 5 nM. The record is from RNAcentral. Lineage: Bacteria; Bacillati; Bacillota; Bacilli; Caryophanales; Paenibacillaceae.
CUAUUUCAUUUAAAGUUUACUCGUAUAUAUUCGGGAUCAGGCCUGAAUGUUUCUACCCGAGAACCUUAAUUUUCGGACUACGAGCAAAAUGAGACGAUAA